This 433-nucleotide ribosomal RNA is filed under the name uncultured bacterium. Its description in RNAcentral is "bacterial SSU rRNA". It matches the Rfam family "Bacterial small subunit ribosomal RNA", at positions 29 to 507 of the family's 1533-position model. The record is from RNAcentral.
AACGAACGCUGGCGGCAUGCCUAACACAUGCAAGUCGAACGAAGGCUUCGGCCUUAGUGGCGCACGGGUGCGUAACGCGUGGGAACCUGCCCCUCGGUUCGGAAUAACAGUUAGAAAUGACUGCUAAUACCGGAUGAUGACUUCGGUCCAAAGAUUUAUCGCCGAGGGAUGGGCCCGCGUAGGAUUAGCUAGUUGGUGGGGUAAAGGCCUACCAAGGCGACGAUCCUUAGCUGGUCUGAGAAGAUGAUCAGCCACACUGGGACUGAGACACGGCCCAGACUCCUACGGGAGGCAGCAGUGGGGAAUAUUGGACAAUGGGCGAAAGCCUGAUCCAGCAAUGCCGCGUGAGUGAUGAAGGCCUUAGGGUUGUAAAGCUCUUUUACCAGGGAUGAUAAUGACAGUACCUGGAGAAUAAGCUCCGGCUAACUCCGUG